UGUUUUUUUGCAGCUGCCAGUUGGAACUAGUCCUGCUAAAUGUAAGGAGCUGCUCUUACGUCCUCAUGGCUGCUUUAGCACUGCUGUUAGUCUGGGUUCUGGUGUCAACAUGCUCUUAUGGGUCAACAAAUCAGGUUGUGAAGAACAUCAAUGCAGAACUUGGAGAGGAAACCCUUCUGCCAUGUCAGAUUAAUGGCAGCCAAAAUAUCAAUGCUGUAUCUUGGUCCAAGAAAAAAGAAGAUGGUGAACAAGAUGUCUUUUUGUAUCGAGAUGGACACAUUGUUGACUCAGAGCAGCAUUCCUCUUUCAAGAACCGGGUGGAACUAAAGCACGAAAAGAUGGAGAAUAAUAGCGUGUCUUUGGUUCUGAGAAACAUUUCUGCUGGUGACAAAGGGACAUAUGAAUGUAGGGUUACGCUGCGACAAAAAAGUGUUUUUCCUAACUGCAUCAUCGACCUGAACGUCGCUUCAUGAUCAAGUGCCGUAAGCAGAGAACCCAGACCUGGAUCUGCUGGAUUGAUUGCGGCUCUGACCAUCCUGCUCUGUAUUAGAUAGUGAUUUUUAAUUUUAUUUUUCCUGAUAGUAUUAUAUUUCAUAAUCAUUGGUAUAGUCUAUAUAAUUUUCUUGAUACACUUUACUUGCUUGUUUUCUCCUAUAAAACUUCAAGUUUCAGAAGGAAUCAAGAAUCGUUUAUAAUGAAACAUUUUAUUGGCUCUAAUGUAAACUAUGAAUAUUUUUGCAUAGUUGAUAUCUUUUCAAUUGCUUUAAACAACAUAUGAUGGGACACACUUUAAAAAUUAACUAGUCAAGAAGAA
Long non-coding RNA from Cyprinodon variegatus (sheepshead minnow), 814 nucleotides. RefSeq lists it as uncharacterized. Lineage: Eukaryota; Metazoa; Chordata; Actinopteri; Cyprinodontiformes; Cyprinodontidae. The record is from RefSeq and is a predicted model, not a curated record. The transcript has 3 exons.